This 846-nucleotide long non-coding RNA is filed under the name Phasianus colchicus (ring-necked pheasant). RNAcentral's name for it is "lncRNA (ENSPCLG00000016579.1)". Lineage: Eukaryota; Metazoa; Chordata; Aves; Galliformes; Phasianidae. The record is from RNAcentral.
AUGCGCGGGCAGCCAGGGCCGGGCCGUACCGCACCGCGGAGCCCGGCCCCGGCGGGCCAAAGGCCUGCGGCCUCCACAAGGUCAUCGCCGGCGGAGCGGGGCCGAGAGCUCCCGCCAGGCCCGCGGGCCGCCUCCGCGGGGCAGAGGAAGGCCGCCUCCGCGCCCGGCCCGCGUUCCGUCCGUACGACGGAAGCAGGCCGCGGCCCGCCCGGCCCCAGCCGCGACUCUGGGCCCCGCCAACGGGCCAGGCGCGGCCUCGCCACACCGGGCCUCGUCCGCCCGCCACGCCCCGGGACAGCGGAGCGAGGCCGCGCGGCGCUGCCCUCGCCCCCUCGCCCUGCCGCGGCCCGGCGGCGGCCACUUACCCUGCUCCGCCGCCCGGCGCUGCCCCGGCAGGAAGGACGCGGCUGCCGCGGUGAAGGGAGAGAGGGCGGCCUGCGGGAGCGGGGCUCCCCCUGCCGCGGCUGGUCCCGUCCCGGCCUGGCGCGGCUGGCUUGCUGGGCUGGGCAGGGCUGGCGGUGCCGGCCGCGUGCCCGCUUUCCCGUAAGCGCGCCCCCGCGGCGUCAGGCGAGCGGCGCCGCGCCGGGCCCUGCCGCUCACGUGACGGUGCUGUUUACGGGGAGGCGGUGCCACGCUGCGCAGGCGCCGGGUAGGGCCCGGCACGAUCGGGUGGGGAGGGCGCCCGUGCUGCGUGUCGUCUGCCUGCAGCGAGUUUCAGGAAUUCUCUCUCCAAGAUGCAUCUGCUUCAAAGAAUACUGCUACAUUACAAUGGAUAGCACUGAGCUACUGAGUUUAUGGCACCAAUUUCUCCACAGGCUUUCAACAAGUUCUUCAGUCAAAAUAUAG